UACGUAGGUGGCAAGCGUUGUCCGGAUUUAUUGGGUUUAAAGGGUGCGUAGGCGGUCCUAUAAGUCAGUGCUGAAAUAUCCCGGCUUAACCGGGAGGGUGGCAUUGAUACUGUUGGACUUGAGUAAAGUUGAGGUUGGCGGAAUUGACGGUGUAGCGGUGAAAUGCUUAGAUAUCGUCAAGAACACCUAUUGCGAAGGCAGCUAACUAAGCUUUAACUGACGCUGAGGCACGAAAGCGUGGGGAGCAAACAGG
RNAcentral lists this ribosomal RNA (253 nucleotides) under uncultured bacterium. Its description in RNAcentral is "partial 16S ribosomal RNA". It matches the Rfam family "Bacterial small subunit ribosomal RNA", at positions 524 to 776 of the family's 1533-position model. The record is from RNAcentral.